UUUUUUUUUUUUUUUUUUUUUUUGGAGAAUUGCUGGGAAACGACAUUAGAUGGUUUUAAAUAGUAAUUCCUAGGCGUUGCCCUGUUGAUAGCCAACAUAAACACGGCGGCCCCGUGGAUCAAAGAAAUUACCCCCAUCAAAGAAAAACUGGACCACGCCAGGAAUUGGAUCUUUCAAAUGCUAGGUCAAGACUGCCAGAACAUGGGGAAAGCAUGGGAUGGCUGAGAAGAAGGUGGCAGAUUUUUUUUAAUGUUGAGAAUUUAAAACAAUUUUUAAAGUAAUAUUAAUAGUAGUAGCAGUAGUAAAAUAAUGAUUUUUAUUAAGCUUUUUUUUUUUUUUUUUUUUUGUCUUUUUGCCAUUUUUCUUGGGACGCUCCCGUGGCAUAUGGAGGUUCCCAGGCUAGGGGUUGAAUCGGAGCUGUAGCCACCAGCCUACACCAGAGCCACAGCAACGCAGGAUCCGAGCCGCGUCUGCAACCUACACCACAGCUCACGGCAACGCUGGAUCGUUAACCCACUGAGCAAGGGCAGGGACCGAACCUGCAACCUCAUGGUUCCUAGCCAGAUUCGUUAACCACUACACCACGAUGGGAACUCCUUUUGAGCAUUUUGUAUGUCCCAGCGCCACUUGCUGAGACCUUUCCACAUCCUAUUUCAUUUUAACCUCACAAACUUCAUUGAGGUGGGGACUACGAUUAUCCCGGCUUGACGGUCAAGGCUACAGAAUCACAAAGAGGUCGUUCACUUCCCUAAGGCCACAGAGGCAGUGGACACCAGGCCUGUACUCUCAGCUGGGCUAUACUACUCCUUCCAGGGCUGUUUAGGACGCUAACACUUCCUAAACACUUGCUGUUUCCCAAGCCUUCCUCCAGUACUUUAUAGGUGGUGACUCGCUUAAUGCUCACAGCCUCAGCCAAUGAAAGACAGGCUACAACAACCCACUUUACAGAUGAGGAAAACUAGGGCACAGAGAGGCUGAGGAAGCUGCCCACUUAACCAUCCAACUAGUUAAGUGCCCCAGUGGAAAUCGGACCCAGGCAAUCUGGCUCAGAAGCCAAAAUCUUAACCACCUCCUAAUACUACCUCUCAUGUAGAAUUAAGAAACCAUGUCUCACCCAUGUGGUUUCUGAGGUGCAGGCUGCAUAACUAAACCCACCAUUUAAAACAUCCGGGGGAAUUAGUAUUUUCUUUAUUCAUAUUAAUUUCAAGCCCAGGAGGAACAGAAGAAAAGCACGACAAGGAAUAUGCCCAUAAGAUGACUGUGUUUUAUUAUCAGCUGCCAGUCAUGUCUGCAGAUGUGAGACAUGGUGAGUGGAAGAUUUGGGGGAGUUUUUGGUCCUGAAGUCAAAGAAGUGGUGGCCAUGCCAGGAAAAAAGCAAAGCAGGACCUCAGCUUCAGCACCAUCCAGGGCUCCAGAACUAAUUACCAAAUGGAACAGAAAACAAUGAAAUAACCAAGUGAUGAAUGGGUUAAGAAGAUAUGGCAAUAAAUACAAUGGAAUACUACUAAGCCAUAAAAAAGAAUGAAUUCAUGUCAUUUUCAGCAACAUGGAUGCAACUAGAAAUUCUCAUAGUAAGUGAAGUCACAAAGAGAAAGACAAAUACCAUAUGAUAUCACUUAUACAUGAAAUCUAAAAUAUGGCACAAAUGAACCUAUCCACAAAACAGAAACAGACUCAUGGAUCUAUACAACAGACUUGUGGUUGCCAAGCAGGAGGGGAGAAGGAGUGGGAUGGACUGGGAUGGACAGGGAGUUUGGGUUGGUAGAUGUUUAGAAUGGAUAAGCAAUAAGGUCCUCCUGUACAGCACAGGGACCUCUAUCAGUCUCUUGAGAUAGACCAUGAUGGAAGAUAAUAUGAGAAAAAGAAUGCUAAAAAAAUAAUACCUGAGUGGCCGUACUAUAAAAUUCUUCCCCCCUACAUCUAACCAAUAGAGAUGUGCCCUUGAGAGAGCCCUUGGAAGAAUGAUCAGGGAACCACUGCACACAUACAAAGUGUUUGUUUAAUAAAUAUUUAUAGUCCUCGCAACAUACAAGAACUAAUUUCAGCUCUUGCUCUUCCUAUCAGCCAGCUGUUGGAGAAAAUGAGGAAGUGAUGCCUCAUGGUAGUUGUGAUAACCGUUUCCUUAAACUUGAAAGAACUUGCCCCUCCUUCCCAAUCCCCAUCCUACAAUAGAGAAUGAAGACAAUACCAAAAGGCCAUUUCCUAGCAGUUCUGUACUUACAAAUGAUGGAUACCCCCUAGCUGAAUGCCAGUGGAGCAGUCAGUAUAGAGUCCCUUAGGCUGCUGUAACAAACACCCCACACACACACACACCACACACAUCUCGGCAUAACACAACAAAGGUUUAUUUGCAGCUCAUCCUAUGUGUGUAGAGGGGACUGCAGGAUGUGGUGAUAGAGGGAACUUCUCAUUGUCACCGUCCAAGGGCCCAGCUGCUGAGUUGCUGGAGGACCCCUCCAGGGAAAUACUUCUGUGAUACCAGACAAAGGGGAACAGAAUUGUGCACAAGCUCUUAAUAGCACCUCCUGGAAGUACCAUAGAAUGUCCAGCCACGUGUCAUUGGCCAGCAUAAGUCACAUAACAAGCCUGACUUUAAAAAAGACAACAAAAUGCAAGAUUCUUUCUUUCUUUUUUUUUUUUUUUUUUUUUUUUUUGUCUUUUUGCCCUUUCUUGGGCCGCUUCUGCAGCAUAUGGAGGUUCCCAGGCUAGGGGUCCAAUCAGAGCUGCAGCUUCCGAUCCGCCCCCACCCCCAGCCACGGCAACAUGGGAUCCAAGCCAGGUCGGCGACCUACACCACUGCUCACAGCAACACCAGAUCCUUAACCCACUGAGUAAAGCCAGGGAUCAAACCCGCAUCCUCACGGACACUAUGUCAAGCUCUUAACCCUCUGAGCCACAAUGGGAACUCCAACCCUGUGAUUCUUAACCAAACACAAUCGUGUCAACGGUACAAACUCAGUCCUGGCUGACCUAGGGAUUUAGCUGCAACCUCUCCACACAGGACUUUACCUCUGGCCUUGACCUGAAUUUCCAAAAUCCCUAGUGUUUCUCUGUGGCAGAACAACUAGCACCAGAUGUCUCUCAUUCCUGAUAAAAUUCCACUAACACAUUUUGUGAAAUAAAACAACAAGCAGGACUGGGGAUAUGGGAAGAAAAAUGGGAGCUCAUCCUGAGAGGAAGACGUUGACAGCAACGUCCAUUUCCAACGGCUUCUCCCAAAAGGAUGUGGUCUGUGGGGCCCGGAUUUCUCUGUGACACUGGAACCCUGUUGUCUCUGAUGAAGCCGGCAAGUCAUCACUACCCACAGCCAUCUCUAUAGUGGCACGCGAUCGUCCCACUGGAAGGUGUAAAGCACACUUUUGAAUCUCAGAACAAGGACUCUGAUGGAUAACAGAGCCAAGCAGGUUGGCAGCUGCGAGGGUUAGGGUGGCUGGCUGGACCCGUCGUCCGGGUGUCCAGGGCUUUCUGCGCUGCAGCUGUGAGAUGCAGAGCUUCUCGUGGUUCCUGUGGCCACAGAUCCGCUGUGUUCCACAACUGCCAAGAGACAGCACAACCAAGGGUGCCGACUACUCAGCCUGCUCCUCCCAUCAGCUGGGUGGGCUUCACCUGGGAGCUUCCUCAAAAUGCAGAUUCUCAGGCCCUGCCCCACACCUGUUAAACCAGAAUCUGCAUUUAGCAAAGUCUCCAGGUGAUGUGCAUACACACUCGUUUGAGAAAUUCUGCUCUCCAGAGUUUUAAACCACCCAUGAAAGAGGCCUUUGUUACUAUCUUCUAUUGAACAGAAUUAAAAAUCAAGGCCAGUGUUUCCCAGGCUGCCUUCUUUCUCAUCUUGUUGUCAAACGGUCAAAUUACACCAAACGCCCAGUUAAUAAUUCACCUGCCUCAGAGCCUUGAAAAAUAGCUGAAAUUUGCAUGAAUGUAACUGCACCUACUUCCGGACAACUCUAUUUCAGUAUGUCCCUUAGACACCAUCAUUUCUUUCUUUAAAAAACUCUGUUUUAAAUACUUGCUUCCGUAAGUAGUGCACUUAUUUCUCCCAGACUAUUGAUCAGACCCACACAUCCGACUUUUAUUUCCAACUUUCUCUUCUCCCUCCGUUAACAUGCGCCGAGUCCAAACAGGGAUAAGUGACAGUUUACAUAACAUCUGCAGGUGUUUCUGUUACCAGGGAUUCAGUGGAAUGCCGUCUUCUUCAUGGGCUUUGUUUGUUUGGCUUGAGACCAGCCGGGCGGGCUGGGCGAUGUCCGGCUUUACUGUACGCAUCUGGUCUAGCCUAACACCAUGCUGGAGGGUGUCAGGAGGAAGCCGCGAGAUGCCACCCAGCAAGAAAGCUCAAGGGACCGACUCUCUGCUUGUAAAAAGUGACCAACAUCGCACUCUAGCUUCAAAUGUUAAUGCGUAAUGUCGGAGCCGUUUACUUUGAAGAUAAGGUUUCACUGCUGAGGAAGAAGGUCGUCGGGAUCAUGUGUGAACUACGCUGCCACCUACGUGGGGACCUUAAAUGAAACAGGGAAGCAGACAUUAACCUCCAAAAGUCGGCGUUAAAGAGAUACUUUGCCUUUCAUGAGCAUUUCUUUUUUCAUGCCAAGCUCCACCUUCUGCCCUCCAAAGAUGAAGGAGGUACAGUUGACGCAGAAGCGUAUUUUCAUAGGAUUGGCAGAAACCCAGAAACCAUGUUCCCUGGAGGACUUCCAUGGCACGGUGUCCUCAAACGCCUUUAAAUAAUCUCUAGUAAAAGAGCCCGAGAGGAUAUUUCCAGGUGACAAUGGGACUGGAAGUGACAUGAUAUUUGUACGUGAGGGGCUACUCAUUUUGCUGAAAUAAAGAAUCUUGUGAAAAGAGGAAUUAGGACUUGUAUUUACAACAGCUUUUCAUAAACAUCCCCAAAUUCCAGGCACAGGAC
RNAcentral lists this long non-coding RNA (4903 nucleotides) under Sus scrofa (pig). Its description in RNAcentral is "lncRNA (ENSSSCG00015056169.1)". Lineage: Eukaryota; Metazoa; Chordata; Mammalia; Artiodactyla; Suidae. The record is from RNAcentral.